UGAAGCGUUUAGUGCGGAGCACAUCUCUC
This 29-nucleotide non-coding RNA is filed under the name Bombyx mori (domestic silkworm). Lineage: Eukaryota; Metazoa; Arthropoda; Insecta; Lepidoptera; Bombycidae. The record is from RNAcentral.